Molecule: long non-coding RNA, 202 nt
Filed under: Physcomitrium patens
Lineage: Eukaryota; Viridiplantae; Streptophyta; Bryopsida; Funariales; Funariaceae
Description: long non-coding RNA (PPAT_LNC014343)
Source: RNAcentral
AUAGGUUAAGAAAUGGAGGGAGGAGAAUCAAGGUUUUAAGGGUCAGAGAGCUAGCUUCAUGCUUCAAAAAGACAGAGAAUUGGGAUUUUUUUUCUUCAUAGGGUUUUUGGAAAGACUGAGGCAAUCGUUGCUGAAAGUUAGUGUUAUAUUGGUGAACUGGAUUUUUUUUUCCAAAAGAGAGAAAAAGCUGGUACUCUUGAUU